Syngnathoides biaculeatus (alligator pipefish) is the source of this 622-nucleotide long non-coding RNA. RefSeq lists it as uncharacterized. The transcript is spliced from 3 exons. The record is from RefSeq and is a predicted model, not a curated record. NCBI's taxonomy places the organism in Eukaryota, Metazoa, Chordata, Actinopteri, Syngnathiformes, Syngnathidae.
UCAAUGCAUGUUUUUGGGAUGUGGGAGUAAAACCCGAGUGCCUGGAGAAAACCCACGGAGGUAAGGCGAGAACAUGCAAACAAAAGGUAUGUCUUGAAGGUAUUUUAUUUCUUGAUAUACACAAGCAUGUAGUUGUUUUAUGAUGUAAUAUUGACAUACCCGUUCUCCUUUAAUUCCUGCACCCUGUUGUCCUCUCGAUCCUCUCGGUCCUGGAAGCCCGCGAUCCCCCUAUGGAACAAAAUCAUACCGUGUUAACUACAUCACAACCACUUGAGGUUUUUUGGGUCUUUGCCAAAUUCAUAUUGUUCUCCACUGAACUGGUUCUGAAGAGGAGCGUGUUGGCUCCUGUUAGCCACUUCAUUCAAAUGAUCCUACCUGAAAGGAAUGGAGGUAUCCCAAUGCCAGUUUCCCCCUGAAUACCUGGAGGGCCGGGUGGUCCACGUUCCCCCUGUCAGCAAGAUGUAGGUUCAGUCAUCUCCUCACAGGACCAGCAAAAGAAAGGAUCAAGUUGCAUGAAGAGCACCACUUUGCUCAUUUAUCAUCCAUAAGCAACAACAGCAGUGCUGUCCUUCUUGGAAUCAGUCGAAAAAGUUGGAGUACUCACAGCUCUUUUAUAAGGAAG